Cinara cedri is the source of this 397-nucleotide non-coding RNA. The record is from the annotation of a GenBank genome assembly. NCBI's taxonomy places the organism in Eukaryota, Metazoa, Arthropoda, Insecta, Hemiptera, Aphididae.
UCGGAAAAUUCAACUAGCGUUUUUGAUAACGCCUUAAUUGAUAUCAGAUCUUCAACCAAACAAAGGCCUACACCGCUAGAGGGCAGUAACGAAAGACCUAAAAUGAAUAAGUGAAUCCGUUUUCACAGAGACGGUGGGAAAGUCUAACUUGUACCCGUCGGCUAACGAUAAUAAUUAUAAGUGUUUCUGGACGUAACAAUAUUAUUGUUAUGGCCGAUGGAAAUUUCGUUUUUUUCCUCGUUACCUACCCGGCGUGUUUUCGCCGACUAAUCGAAAUGUGUUCGGUUCGCACUCGAGUUGACGAGUGAACGGUUAGCCACGUUUUAAACAGCGCGCGGUUUGAAAUCGCCGUCUUCGUAUUCCGCGCGGCUGUACAUUAAUAGGCCGAGCGCGACCG